CCUACUUAUGUCAGAUUGAGUUUUUUACUUUCAUCAAUUAAUCACUGAUAACUGUUUAAACCGAAUGGUCAUAUGUAAACUGUUUUAUGGGCUUGCACCAAGAUUUGUGAACUAAUCAGUAAAAUUCAAAAACAAAUUUUUUUUUUUUUCAUUUUUAAGAAAAGAAAUUGAAUAAAGACAAAGUUAUUAAUGAACAUUGCUCAGAUCAACUUGAAAAUAUGGCCACUAAAUGAUGCAUUGCUACAUGUGAAGAAGUCACUUGGUGGAAAAGUAAAUGCUGGCCACUGUUAACCCUUCAAGCCAUUUCUGCCCUUAUCAGGGCUGAAAAAAAUCAAUGAAACAGGUCUCCUUCUAGGGUGUUUUUGCAACUGUUGCUCAAACACCCUAGAGGGAUUUUAAAUCUUGGUCUUUGAGGGCUAGUGGUCCUGCAGGUUUUAGAAGUUUCCCAGCUGCAACACACCUGACUCAGACCUCGAUGCACCAGCUGAUUGCUUGGUUUGCAUGAAGUGAAAACUCUGCUGACCUGGCGAGCCACUCGGUCGCCCGGGUGAGAAAUGGUGCGGACCCAUACUUCCCCUAUUGAACAUAAAUUAAUUAGAUAGUGAAAAAUAAUGAUGAAGUUCAAAUUGAUUAAACACUGAGCCUGGUUUUGUCCAGUAGGUAAUCUGCUAACAUUGAUUGAGGAUUGGAUGUAUUUGCUUAAUUACUUACUGUAUAAAUAAACACAUUUCAUAAGCAAGGGGUGCUGGCCAAAA
Molecule: long non-coding RNA, 755 nt
Organism: Melanotaenia boesemani (Boeseman's rainbowfish)
Lineage: Eukaryota; Metazoa; Chordata; Actinopteri; Atheriniformes; Melanotaeniidae
Exons: 3
Source: RefSeq, a predicted model, not a curated record